GGCGAUGUAGCUCAGACGGUUAGAGCGAGGGCUUCAUAAUCCCUAGGUCAGUGGUUCAAUUCCACUCAUCGCCA
RNAcentral lists this transfer RNA (74 nucleotides) under Caldilineaceae bacterium SB0661_bin_34. RNAcentral's name for it is "tRNA-Met". It matches the Rfam family "tRNA". Rfam says of the family: Transfer RNA (tRNA) molecules are approximately 80 nucleotides in length. Their secondary structure includes four short double-helical elements and three loops (D, anti-codon, and T loops). RNAcentral also lists the same sequence under 5 other names. Lineage: Bacteria; Bacillati; Chloroflexota; Caldilineae; Caldilineales; Caldilineaceae. The record is from RNAcentral.